This 454-nucleotide ribosomal RNA is filed under the name uncultured bacterium. Its description in RNAcentral is "bacterial SSU rRNA". It matches the Rfam family "Bacterial small subunit ribosomal RNA", at positions 28 to 521 of the family's 1533-position model. The record is from RNAcentral.
GAUGAACGCUGGCGAGAUGCUUUACACAUGCAAGUCGUACGAGAGUCUUUGACUCAAGUGGCGGACGGGUGAGUAACACGUAAGAAUCUGCCUUUAGGAGGGGGACAACAACUGGAAACGGUUGCUAAUACCCCAUAUGCUUUCGAGUGAAAUGGAUUUUUCCGCCUAGAGAGGAGCUUGCGGCUGAUUAGCUUGUUGGUAGGGUAAUGGCUUACCAAGGCGACGAUCAGUAUCUGGUUUGAGAGGACGAUCAGACACACUGGAACUGAGACACGGUCCAGACUCCUGCGGGAGGCAGCAGUGGGGAAUUUUCCGCAAUGGGCGAAAGCCUGACGGAGCAAUCUCGCGUGAGGGAUGACUGCCUAUGGGUUGUAAACCUCUUUUUUCAGGGUAGGAAUAAAUGACGUGUACCUGAAGAAUAAGCAUCGGCUAACUCCGUGCCAGCAGCCGCAGU